GACAGAGGUCCCGAGCGUUAGGCGGAAUCACUGGGCUUAAAGCGUGUGUAGGCGGAUCGUUAAGUGCCUUGUGAAAUCCCAUGGCUUAACCAUGGAACUGCUUGGCAUACUGGCGGUCUUGAGCCACUUAGGGGCAACCGGAACAAAUGGUGGAGCGGUGAAAUGCGUAGAUAUCAUUUGGAACGCCAAUGGUGAAAACAGGUUGCUGGGAGUGUGCUGACGCUGAGACACGAAAGCCAGGGGAGCGAACGGG
This 253-nucleotide ribosomal RNA is filed under the name uncultured bacterium. RNAcentral's name for it is "partial 16S ribosomal RNA". It matches the Rfam family "Bacterial small subunit ribosomal RNA", at positions 524 to 776 of the family's 1533-position model. The record is from RNAcentral.